Molecule: long non-coding RNA, 339 nt
Filed under: Ananas comosus (pineapple)
Lineage: Eukaryota; Viridiplantae; Streptophyta; Magnoliopsida; Poales; Bromeliaceae
Description: long non-coding RNA (ACOM_LNC002079)
Source: RNAcentral
CACCCUGUCGGAACAAGCCGCAUCUGCUUUCAGCCAACAAAGAUCCACAAUCAAGAUCUAAACAUCAAUUCCACUAAAAUCCACUAAAAAAAUCCAAUUUCAGCACUUAAGCUUGGAUUCCUUCCCACUCCAAUGUCAAAACUCACCUAACGAUCUCCAAAUCAGGUGAGGACAGUUCCAAAUCAAGCAAAUACUGAUGGGUGAUGUGUCUCAGGUCCAAAAUCCCACUGCCUACAAAGAUAGCAUCAAGAAAAGCUCAAAAAUCUCAUUUUCAGCUCAAUGUCAACAGCAGUUCAGAAAAAUCUCAGUUUGACCAAGGUAACCUCAACCAAAAUCUAC